CGGAACGGGUGGGUAACGCGUGAGGAACCUGCCUCAAAGAGGGGGACAACAGUUGGAAACGACUGCUAAUACCGCAUAAGCCCACGGCUCGGCAUCGAGCAGAGGGAAAAGGAGUGAUCCGCUUUGAGAUGGCCUCGCGUCCGAUUAGCUGGUUGGUGAGGUAACGGCCCACCAAGGCGACGAUCGGUAGCCGGACUGAGAGGUUGAACGGCCACAUUGGGACUGAGACACGGCCCAG
Molecule: ribosomal RNA, 238 nt
Filed under: uncultured bacterium
Lineage: Bacteria
Description: partial 16S ribosomal RNA
Rfam family: Bacterial small subunit ribosomal RNA
Source: RNAcentral